AGGACGAACGCUGGCGGCGCGCUAACACAUGCAAGUCGAGCGAGAACCGGGCCUCGGGCCCGGGGACGAGCGGCGAACGGGUGAGUAACACGUGGGUAACCUGCCCUCGGCACCGGGAUAGCCCGGGGAAACCCCGGAUUAAUACCGGAUGGCCUCCGGAGCCUGCGGGCGCCGGAGAAAAGGUGGCUUCGGCAUCUGGCCGAGGAGGGGCCUGCGGCGGAUUAGCUUGUUGGUGGGGUAACGGCUCACCAAGGCUACGAUCCGUAGCUGGUCUGAGAGGACGAUCAGCCACACUGGGACUGAGACACGGCCCAGACUCCUACGGGAGGCAGCAGUGGGGAAUCUUGCGCAAUGGGCGAAAGCCUGACGCAGCGACGCCGCGUGCGGGAAGAAGGCCUUCGGGUUGUAAACCGCUUUCAGGAGGGACGAAGCUACUCGGGUGAACAGCCCAGAGGGUGACGGUACCUUCAGAAGAAGCCCCGGCUAACUACGUGCCAGCAGCUGC
RNAcentral lists this ribosomal RNA (505 nucleotides) under uncultured bacterium. Its description in RNAcentral is "bacterial SSU rRNA". It matches the Rfam family "Bacterial small subunit ribosomal RNA", at positions 26 to 518 of the family's 1533-position model. The record is from RNAcentral.